GACGAACGCUGGCGGCGUGCUUAACACAUGCAAGUCGAGCGGAAAGGCCCUUCGGGGUACUCGAGCGGCGAACGGGUGAGUAACACGUGAGUAACCUGCCCUUGGCUCUGGGAUAGCUCCGGGAAACCGGAAUUAAUACCGGAUAUGACCUCGGCCGACAUCGGCUGUGGUGGAAAGAUUUAUCGGCCAGGGAUGGGCUCGCGGCCUAUCAGCUAGUUGGUGGGGUAACGCCUACCAAGGCGACGACGGGUAGCCGGCCUGAGAGGGCGACCGGCCACACUGGGACUGAGACACGGCCCAGACUCCUACGGGAGGCAGCAGUGGGGAAUAUUGCGCAAUGGGCGAAAGCCUGACGCAGCGACGCCGCGUGGGGGAUGAA
Molecule: ribosomal RNA, 379 nt
Filed under: uncultured bacterium
Lineage: Bacteria
Description: bacterial SSU rRNA
Rfam family: Bacterial small subunit ribosomal RNA
Source: RNAcentral